UUUCAUUCAACUAAUGAUCAAUUACAACAUCCAGACCUCGAAACUCAAAUUUAGUACUGUUAUUAAAUCAUUGUAUACACAGCAGAAAACAUGUUGGUUAUGUUAUACAACUAAUUUUACAUAAAAAUAGAAUGCCAUACAAUAAUAAUACGUAGGCCAGAAGCAAACAAUUAUUUUACUCAUCAGAUGUACAUAUGUAUCUCUGAUAGAUUUGGCUUGCCUUUGUCUGUUUUCAUGUCUGUUUUUGAUCUCCCUCAGAUCAUCAUGUAUUUUGAUAAUUCCAAUGAUAUCUAGAAGUUCUAGAAGUUUGCAACUGAGACUGAGCAUUAGUAUCAUCACCUGGAAAAUGUAAAAUUCACCAACUUAAAAUAAAUCUCUGUGAAAUGUAAUUUGAAUAUCUUAAGAAUAAAAUCUAUCUUAAAACACAUAUGCUAUAUCCUGCUUCAAGAAUAAAAAUAGCAGUAAUCACAUGUACCUUCUUCACAGUUGGCCGUGAAGGUUAUAUUCUAUCUGAAGAACUAUCAGUGAUUGGACGUUGCUUGAGCAAUAAAUAUUUACGUUUCUGCAAUGUUAACAAAACCAAUAUAUUGUCGGUCUUGACAAUAUAUAUCCUGCUUUUGUAUACAUGAUCAGUGGAGCAUAAUCAAUUAUCCUGCAAUGCUAGUAAAUUUCACUCGACGGACUCAUAUGAGAAAUUAGUUCUUCACUUGUUUUCAGCAGAUGUCACCCAAUGCCCACCCUGAAAAUCAUUAAAUAUACAUCAAAGCCAAAAGAACACAAAAUCACGCCAAAUAGCUGGCAAUGCAUAGAACUACUUCACACCAGAAAUCGAGUACUAUUUUUAGAGCACAUUUAAGAUAACAUAGGGCAAAAUUCAUAAAAGUUUGGCCUGGAAAUUCGAUCAGCUGGCAGCAGUCUCCAGUUUCUCCCUCUGUUCUGUAAGUAGCAUUUUUAGCUCCGCACUUCGCAGUGAGAUGAAGACAACAUAUCUAUAGGAUUUGUAUUAUUACACAUACAUGAUAUGAAAAUCAUUACAAACAUACAUAUUAAAGAUGAAAUGAAUACAAAAUCAUUUAUAAUAAGAUAAUAAUAAAAAUUUACGAAAAAUAUGUAUGGUGUAUUGGUAUAUUAUAUCAAAAUCAUGUUCAUCCAUGUUGAGUACUCCUGUAAAUCAUCCAGAUAUCAAAGUGCAAUUCAAAAUUCAUUCACUGAAACAGCACCAAAAUAAAACUCCUUCAUCUUAAUCCCAUAAAAACAUCAACCUAAAAUUAUAGGAAUUUUAGUGGCUAGUAAAGAAUCAAUAACUGAAAAUAGAUAUAAAACCAAAUAAAAUAAAAAUGAUAAUAAGCAAUUAAGAAAUAUAAAUCAAUGUUAUAAUUGUUAUAGCAAUAUAAUCAAUCACCUUGUGUUCAACUACUGUUUCCAAGUCAGGCAUACAAUUUCAAUUUUCAGCAAAACAGGGUUAGUAACAGUGAUACAAACAAUUAGCAAUGUGAAGCUCAUCAGAAGCCAACAAACUAUGGAACCUCAUGUAGGUCUCGGGCAUUUAAAAUGUAGCAACAUAAUGCGUGUGAAAUCAGGAUCUCAGGCAUAAUUAGGUUAACCUUGUAAUAAUUAGGACUAUCCAAACAAAGAGAAUAGCUCACAGCAAACAGCAUUAGCUGGCUAGUU
RNAcentral lists this long non-coding RNA (1671 nucleotides) under Daucus carota (carrot). Its description in RNAcentral is "long non-coding RNA (DCAR_LNC001923)". Lineage: Eukaryota; Viridiplantae; Streptophyta; Magnoliopsida; Apiales; Apiaceae. The record is from RNAcentral.